This 73-nucleotide transfer RNA is filed under the name Methylobacter tundripaludum. RNAcentral's name for it is "tRNA-Thr". It matches the Rfam family "tRNA". Rfam says of the family: Transfer RNA (tRNA) molecules are approximately 80 nucleotides in length. Their secondary structure includes four short double-helical elements and three loops (D, anti-codon, and T loops). Lineage: Bacteria; Pseudomonadati; Pseudomonadota; Gammaproteobacteria; Methylococcales; Methylococcaceae. The record is from RNAcentral. RNAcentral also lists the same sequence under 1 other name.
GCCGAUGUAGCUCAGUUGGUAGAGCAACUGAUUCGUAAUCAGUAGGUCGUGGGUUCGACUCCCAUCAUUGGCU